This 235-nucleotide long non-coding RNA is filed under the name Elaeis guineensis (African oil palm). Its description in RNAcentral is "long non-coding RNA (EGUI_LNC070393)". The record is from RNAcentral. Lineage: Eukaryota; Viridiplantae; Streptophyta; Magnoliopsida; Arecales; Arecaceae.
AUACAUUUUAUAAUUUCUAAACUUAAUCUUGUACUUAUAAUAUUUUUAUUAUUAAUAAAGUACUUUUUUAUUCCAAUCAUAUUUAUGUGUCCAUGAUUUAUCUUAAAAAUUAACAAAGAUAAUUUUUAUAUAUUUUCAAAAUAUUAAGAAUUUGAAACAUACAUUAAUUAGUGAUUAAUUUUUAAAUGCUCCUGAUCAAAAGAUCAUCACGAAUGAUAGUGAUCAAUCCAUUCAA